UACGAAGGGUGCAAGCGUUACUCGGAAUUACUGGGCGUAAAGCGUGCGUAGGUGGUGAGUUAAGUCUGAUGUGAAAUCCCCGGGCUCAACCUGGGAAUGGCAUUGGAUACUGGCUCGCUAGAGUGCGGUAGAGGGUGGUGGAAUUCCCGGUGUAGCAGUGAAAUGCGUAGAGAUCGGGAGGAACAUCUGAGGCGAAGGCGGCCACCUGGACCUACACUGACACUGAGGCACGAAAGCGUGGGGAGCAAACAGG
Molecule: ribosomal RNA, 253 nt
Filed under: uncultured bacterium
Lineage: Bacteria
Description: partial 16S ribosomal RNA
Rfam family: Bacterial small subunit ribosomal RNA
Source: RNAcentral